CAGCACGGGAGCAAUCCUGGUGGCGAGUGGCGAACGGGUGAGUAAUAUAUCGGAACGUGCCCAGUCGUGGGGGAUAACGUAGCGAAAGCUACGCUAAUACCGCAUACGAUCUUUGGAUGAAAGCGGGGGAUCGCAAGACCUCGCGCGAUUGGAGCGGCCGAUAUCAGAUUAGGUUGUUGGUGGGGUAAAAGCCUACCAAGCCGACGAUCUGUAGCUGGUCUGAGAGGACGACCAGCCACACUGGGACUGAGACACGGCCCAGACUCCUACGGGAGGCAGCAGUGGGGAAUUUUGGACAAUGGGCGCAAGCCUGAUCCAGCAAUGCCGCGUGCAGGAUGAAGGCCUUCGGGUUGUAAACUGCUUUUGUACGGAGCGAAACAGCCUUUUCUAAUACAAGGGGCGAAUGACGGUACCGUAAGAAUAAGCACCGGCUAACUACGUGCCAGCAGCCGCGGUAAUACGUAGGGUGCAAGCGUUAAUCGGAAUUACUGGGCGUAAAGCGUGCGCAGGCGGUCUUGUAAGACAGAUGUGAAAUCCCCGGGCUUAACCUGGGACCUGCAUUUGUGACUGCAAGGCUGGAGUACGGCAGAGGGGGAUGGAAUUCCGCGUGUAGCAGUGAAAUGCGUAGAUAUGCGGAGGAACACCGAUGGCGAAAGCAGUCCCCUGGGCCUGUACUGACGCUCAUGCACG
RNAcentral lists this ribosomal RNA (690 nucleotides) under uncultured bacterium. RNAcentral describes it as "bacterial SSU rRNA". It matches the Rfam family "Bacterial small subunit ribosomal RNA", at positions 70 to 755 of the family's 1533-position model. The record is from RNAcentral.